UAACGAUACGGGACUCAUCCGAGGCCCCGUAAUCGGAAUGAGUACACUUUAAAUCCUUUAACGAGGACCCAUUGGAGGGCAAGUCUGGUGCCAGCAGCCGCGGUAAUUCCAGCUCCAAUAGCGUAUAUUAAAGUUGUUGCGGUUAAAAAGCUCGUAGUUGAAUCUGUGUGCCACGCUGUCGGUUCAUCGCUCGCGAUGUUUAACUGACAUGAUUGUGGGACGUCCUACCGGUGGGCUUAGCUCCUCACGGGGCGGCCCAGCUAAUAUCCCAUCGCGGUGCUCUUCACCGAGUGUCGAGGUGGGCCGGUACGUUUACUUUGAACAAAUUAGAGUGCUCAAAGCAGGCUAUGUUCGCCUGAAUACAUGUGCAUGGAAUAAUGGAAUAGGACCUCGGUUCUAUUUUGUUGGUUUUCGGAACCCCGAGGUAAUGAUUAAUAGGGACAGAUGGGGGCAUUCGUAUUGCGACGUUAGAGGUGAAAUUCUUGGAUCGUCGCAAGACGGACAGAAGCGAAAGCAUUUGCCAAAAAUGUUUUCAUUAAUCAAGAACGAAAGUUAGAGGUUCGAAGGCGAUCAGAUACCGCCCUAGUUCUAACCAUAAACGAUGCCAGCUAGCGAUCCGCCGAAGUUCCUCCGAUGACUCGGCGGGCAGCUUCCGGGAAACCAAAGCUUUUGGGUUCCGGGGGAAGUAUGGUUGCAAAGCUGAAACUUAAAGGAAUUGACGGAAGGGCACCACCAGGAGUGGAGCCUGCGGCUUAAUUUGACUCAACAC
RNAcentral lists this ribosomal RNA (769 nucleotides) under Zagella sp. D0771. RNAcentral describes it as "SSU rRNA". It matches the Rfam family "Eukaryotic small subunit ribosomal RNA", at positions 477 to 1206 of the family's 1831-position model. Lineage: Eukaryota; Metazoa; Arthropoda; Insecta; Hymenoptera; Trichogrammatidae. The record is from RNAcentral.